GUACAGAAAUAAUUACAAGGACCGAGUUACAAAGUUUGGUUGCUGAUCUGCUUGGAAAACAUCCUGAUCUUUUGGAAGGUUUCGGUGAAUUUCUAGAGCGUUGUGAGCAAGAUGAUGGAUUUCUUGAAGGUUUUAUGAGGAAGAGUAGAUGGAAUGACGGGCAUGCUUCCAAGUCAGCAAAGGACGAUGGGAAAGAGAAAGAGCCUAAGCGUGAGACUGAUGGAACUAAAGAAAAGGACAGAUACAAGGAGAAAUACUCGGGAAAAUCCAUCCAAGAACUUGACCUCUCAAACUGCAAACGCUGCACACCCAGUUAUCGGCUUCUCCCUGAUGAUUAUCCAAUACCUACAGCAAGCCAAAAAUCAGAGCUUGGAGCUCAGGUGUUAAAUGACCAUUGGGUUUCUGUGACUUCAGGGAGUGAGGACUACUCGUUUAAGCACAUGCGCAGGAAUCAGUAUGAAGAAAGCCUGUUCCGUUGUGAAGAUGAUAGGUUUGAGC
RNAcentral lists this unclassified non-coding RNA (498 nucleotides) under Hevea brasiliensis (rubber tree). Lineage: Eukaryota; Viridiplantae; Streptophyta; Magnoliopsida; Malpighiales; Euphorbiaceae. The record is from RNAcentral.